RNAcentral lists this ribosomal RNA (429 nucleotides) under Gemmatimonadota bacterium. RNAcentral's name for it is "Gemmatimonadetes bacterium partial 16S ribosomal RNA". It matches the Rfam family "Bacterial small subunit ribosomal RNA", at positions 355 to 776 of the family's 1533-position model. The record is from RNAcentral. Lineage: Bacteria; Pseudomonadati; Gemmatimonadota.
UAGGGAAUCUUCGGCAAUGGACGAAAGUCUGACCGAGCAACGCCGCGUGAGUGAAGAAGGUUUUCGGAUCGUAAAACUCUGUUGUUAGAGAAGAACAAGGACGUUAGUAACUGAACGUCCCCUGACGGUAUCUAACCAGAAAGCCACGGCUAACUACGUGCCAGCAGCCGCGGUAAUACGUAGGUGGCAAGCGUUGUCCGGAUUUAUUGGGCGUAAAGCGAGCGCAGGCGGUUUCUUAAGUCUGAUGUGAAAGCCCCCGGCUCAACCGGGGAGGGUCAUUGGAAACUGGGAGACUGGAGUGCAGAAGAGGAGAGUGGAAUUCCAUGUGUAGCGGUGAAAUGCGUGGAUAUAUGGAGGAACACCAGUGGCGAAGGCGGCUCGCUGGUCUGUAACUGACGCUGAGGCUCGAAGGCGUGGGGAGCAAACAGG